CAGUCGCCGCGGUAAUACAGAGGAUGCAAGCGUUAUCCGGAAUGAUUGGGCGUAAAGCGUGCGUAGGUGGUGGUUUAAGUCCGUUGUGAAAGCCCUGGGCUCAACCUGGGAAUUGCAGUGGAUACUGGGUCACUAGAGUGUGGUAGAGGAUAGUGGAAUUUCCGGUGUAGCAGUGAAAUGCGUAGAGAUCGGAAGGAACAUCUGUGGCGAAGGCGACUAUCUGGGCCAACACUGACACUGAGGCACGAAAGCGUGGGGAGCAAACAGGAUUAGAUACCCGCGUAGUCCCUGUCUCUUAUAC
This 301-nucleotide ribosomal RNA is filed under the name uncultured bacterium. RNAcentral's name for it is "partial 16S ribosomal RNA". It matches the Rfam family "Bacterial small subunit ribosomal RNA", at positions 509 to 807 of the family's 1533-position model. The record is from RNAcentral.